UGGAAGUGUAAGCCAAAGGAACCCUUUGCCCC
This 32-nucleotide non-coding RNA is filed under the name Mus musculus (house mouse). The record is from RNAcentral. Lineage: Eukaryota; Metazoa; Chordata; Mammalia; Rodentia; Muridae.